This 466-nucleotide ribosomal RNA is filed under the name uncultured bacterium. RNAcentral's name for it is "partial 16S ribosomal RNA". It matches the Rfam family "Bacterial small subunit ribosomal RNA", at positions 28 to 507 of the family's 1533-position model. The record is from RNAcentral.
GACGAACGCUGGCGGCGCGCCUAACACAUGCAAGUCGAACGAGCGAGAGAGAGCUUGCUUUCUCGAGCGAGUGGCGAACGGGUGAGUAACGCGUGAGGAACCUGCCUCAAAGAGGGGGACAACAGUUGGAAACGACUGCUAAUACCGCAUAAGCCCACGACCCGGCAUCGGGUAGAGGGAAAAGGAGCAAUCCGCUUUGAGAUGGCGUCGCGUCCGAUUAGCUAGUUGGUGAGGGAACGGCCCACCAAGGCGACGGUCGGGAGCCGGACUGGGAGGUUGAACGGCCACGUUGGGUCUGGGACACGGCCCAGGCUCCUACGGGACGCAGCAGGGGGGAAUAUUGCACAGUGGGGGAAACCCUGAUGCAGCGACGCCGCGUGGAGGAAGAAGGUCUUCGGAAUGUAAACUCCUGUUGUUUGGGAAGAUGAUGACGGUACUCAGCAAGGAAGUGACGGCUAACUACGUG